This 231-nucleotide unclassified non-coding RNA is filed under the name Ambisporaceae sp. RNAcentral's name for it is "partial contains 5.8S ribosomal RNA and internal transcribed spacer 2". The stretch from base 1 to 71 matches the Rfam family "5.8S ribosomal RNA", at positions 84 to 154 of the family's 154-position model. Lineage: Eukaryota; Fungi; Glomeromycota; Glomeromycetes; Archaeosporales; Ambisporaceae. The record is from RNAcentral.
GUGAAUCAUCGAAUUUUUGAACGCAUAUUGCACUCUCUGGUAUUCCGAAGAGUAUGUCUAUUUGAGGGUCAUUUGAAAUAAUAUUAAUUUCCAGUUUUCCAGUAAUUUAAAAUGGGUUGUCCAUUUUUUGUGGUCGCGUAAAUUCAAAGUCAUGCUUAUUAUCUUGUGUUGCGUGAUGCUUUCAGUUAACUCGUGAUUUAACUUGGACUUAAUGGAUGUGAUAUGACUUUU